Molecule: ribosomal RNA, 523 nt
Filed under: Aspergillus sp. CAM1USP
Lineage: Eukaryota; Fungi; Ascomycota; Eurotiomycetes; Eurotiales; Aspergillaceae
Description: eukaryotic LSU rRNA
Rfam family: 5.8S ribosomal RNA (bases 161-314)
Source: RNAcentral
AACCUGCGGAAGGAUCAUUACCGAGUGCUGGGUCCUUCGGGGCCCAACCUCCCACCCGUGCUUACCGUACCCCUGUUGCUUCGGCGGGCCCGCCCGCCGGAGACCACACGAACACUGCCUGAAAGCGUGCAGUCUGAGUUGAUUGAUACCAAUCAGUUAAAACUUUCAACAAUGGAUCUCUUGGUUCCGGCAUCGAUGAAGAACGCAGCGAAAUGCGAUAACUAAUGUGAAUUGCAGAAUUCAGUGAAUCAUCGAGUCUUUGAACGCACAUUGCGCCCCCUGGUAUUCCGGGGGGCAUGCCUGUCCGAGCGUCAUUACUGCCCUCAAGCCCGGCUUGUGAGUUGGGCCGCGUCCCCCCGGGGACGGGCCCGAAAGGCAGCGGCGGCGCCGUCCGGUCCUCGAGCGUAUGGGGCUCUGUCACCCGCUCUACAGGUCUGGUCGGCGCUGGCCACCACCCCCAAUCUUCUCCAGAUUGACCUCGGAUCAGGUAGGGAUACCCGCUGAACUUAAGCAUAUCAAUAAG